GCCCGCCUAGCUCAAUCGGAUAGAGCGUCAGACUCUUACGACUCAGGCAGGGCAUCUGAAGGCUGCGAGUUCGACCCUCGCGGUGGGCU
RNAcentral lists this transfer RNA (89 nucleotides) under Cylindrobasidium torrendii FP15055 ss-10. It matches the Rfam family "tRNA". From Rfam's summary of the family: Transfer RNA (tRNA) molecules are approximately 80 nucleotides in length. Their secondary structure includes four short double-helical elements and three loops (D, anti-codon, and T loops). The record is from Rfam by way of RNAcentral. Lineage: Eukaryota; Fungi; Basidiomycota; Agaricomycetes; Agaricales; Physalacriaceae.